This 301-nucleotide ribosomal RNA is filed under the name uncultured bacterium. Its description in RNAcentral is "partial 16S ribosomal RNA". It matches the Rfam family "Bacterial small subunit ribosomal RNA", at positions 509 to 807 of the family's 1533-position model. The record is from RNAcentral.
CAGCAGCCGCGGUAAUACGUAGGGUGCAAGCGUUAAUCGGAAUUACUGGGCGUAAAGCGUGCGCAGGCGGUUCGCUAAGACAGAUGUGAAAUCCCCGGGCUUAACCUGGGAACUGCAUUUGUGACUGGCGGGCUAGAGUAUGGCAGAGGGGGGUAGAAUUCCACGUGUAGCAGUGAAAUGCGUAGAGAUGUGGAGGAAUACCGAUGGCGAAGGCAGCCCCCUGGGCCAAUACUGACGCUCAUGCACGAAAGCGUGGGGAGCAAACAGGAUUAGAUACCCCUGUAGUCCCUGUCUCUUAUAC